UAGCGCAAGGAAAUGCCGCAAAGAUUCCAUAUCCACACUGCGGGAGUGGGGCAAUGGCGAUGGCCGCCGCGGCUUCCUGCGCCUUCAAGCUUCCCUGUUCUUCGUCUAGAGAGCUCUCCUCAGGAUUCUUGCAGCGCGACACAUUGCAGCUCCAGCGGCGGCCAAAACCGAGGAGAAUCGCGGCCGUGUGUGUGAGAAAUGUGGCAGUACAAACAGCGGCCGAUCAGGCCAAGAAGGCGGCAUUUUCGAAAGAGAGCCAGCGGCCAGUGUUCCCCUUCACAGCCAUCGUGGGGCAGGAGGAGAUGAAGCUGUGCCUCAUCCUCAACGUCAUCGACCCCAAGAUUGGCGGCGUCAUGAUCAUGGGCGACCGGGGCACUGGUAAAUCCACCACCGUGCGCUCGCUCGUGGACCUCCUGCCCGAGAUCACGGUCGUGGCCGGCGACCCUUUCAACUCGGACCCCGACGACCCCGAGCUCAUGUCCGAGGAGGUCCGGCUCAAAGUUCAGCAAGACCAGCCCCUCCCAUCCGCGCUCGUCAAGAUCAACAUGGUGGAUCUCCCGCUCGGCGCCACCGAAGACCGCGUGUGCGGCACGAUCGACAUCGAGAAGGCGCUGACAGAGGGCGUGAAAGCCUUCGAGCCGGGGCUGCUGGCCAAGGCCAACCGCGGCAUCCUCUACGUGGACGAGGUGAACCUCCUGGACGACCACCUGGUGGACGUGCUCCUCGACUCGGCAGCGUCCGGGUGGAACACCGUGGAGCGCGAGGGCAUCUCGAUCUCCCACCCGGCGCGCUUCAUCCUCAUCGGCUCGGGUAAUCCGGAGGAAGGCGAGCUCCGGCCCCAGUUGCUGGAUCGAUUCGGCAUGCACGCGCAGGUCACCACCGUCAAGGACGCGGAGCUCCGGGUGAAGAUCGUGGAGGAGCGCGGGGCCUUCGACCAGGACCCCGGCGAGUUCCGGGAGAAGUACCUCGGCCCCCAGUCGGAGCUCCAGCAACAGAUCACCGAGGCCCGGGUCCGGCUGCCCGGCGUGAAGAUCGAGCACGAGCUCCGAGUGAAGAUCUCGCGGGUGUGCGCGGAGCUGGACGUGGAUGGGCUGCGCGGGGAUAUCGUGCUCGAUGGUCACGAACAGGGCCGCCAAGGCGCUGGCGGCGCUCCAGGGCCGCGACGAGGUGUCGCCCAAGGACAUCCUCACCGUGAUCCCGAAUUGCCUCCGCCACCGGCUGAGGAAGGAUCCGCUCGAGUCGAUCGAUUCGGGGCUGCUGGUGGUGGAGAAGUUUAGCGAGGUUUUUGGCUAUGCCGUGUAAGUAGUAGCAAGUUUUUCAAAUUUAAAUUUUAGAAUAUACCUGUGGGUGGGGGAUAUUCUUCCCCGUA
Selaginella moellendorffii is the source of this 1369-nucleotide RNA transcript. It is a transcript of the gene named magnesium-chelatase subunit ChlI, with no coding region annotated. NCBI's taxonomy places the organism in Eukaryota, Viridiplantae, Streptophyta, Lycopodiopsida, Selaginellales, Selaginellaceae. The transcript is spliced from 3 exons. The record is from RefSeq and is a predicted model, not a curated record.